RNAcentral lists this ribosomal RNA (960 nucleotides) under uncultured organism. RNAcentral's name for it is "bacterial SSU rRNA". It matches the Rfam family "Bacterial small subunit ribosomal RNA", at positions 95 to 1082 of the family's 1533-position model. The record is from RNAcentral.
GCGGCGGACGAGCGAGUAACACGUGAGAAUUUGCCCCGUACUCAGGGAUAACAGCUCGAAAGAGUUGCUAAUACCGGAUGCCCUCGCAAGAGGAAAGAUUUAUCGGUACGGGAGAAGCUCGCGGUCUAUCAGCUAGUUGGUGGGGUAAUGGCCCACCAAGGCAAUGACGGAUAGCUGGUGUGAGAGCAUGACCAGCCGCGAUGGAACUGAGACACGGUCCAUACUCCUACGGGAGGCAGCAGUAGGGAAUCUUCCGCAAUGGGCGAAAGCCUGACGGAGCGACACCGCGUGGAGGAUGACAGCCUAUGGGUUGUAAACUCCUUUUAUGGGGGAAGAAAAUCUGACGGUACCCCAUGAAUAAGCCUCGGCUAAUUCUGUGCCAGCAGCCGCGGUAAGACAGAAGAGGCAAGCGUUACCCGGAAUUACUGGGCGUAAAGCGUCCGCAGGUGGUGUGGUAAGUCUGUCAUUAAAUGCCUGUGCUCAACAUAGGCGCUGUGAUGGAAACUAUCAUACUAGAGGAAAGGAGAGGUAUGCGGAAUAGUGCAAGUAGGGGUAAAAUCCGUAGAUAUGCACUGGAACACCAAAAGCGAAGGCAGCAUACUGGCCUUUUCCUGACACUCAGGGACGAAAGCGUGGGGAGCAAAACGGAUUAGAUACCCGUGUAGUCCACGCCGUAAACGAUGCAUGCUCGGUGUGGGGACCCUCGACCUGGUCCCCGUGCCCAAGGUAACCCGUUAAGCAUGCCGCCUGUGUAGUACGGCCGCAAGGCUAAAACACAAAGGAAUAGACGGGGGCCCACACAAGCGGUGGAUCGUGGGGUUUAAUUCGAUAAUAAGCGAGUAACCUUACCUAGACUUGACAUCCCUAUCAUACCCCUCAGAGAUGAGGGGGUCGGUUCGGCCGGAUAGGUGACAGGCGCUGCAUGGUUGUCGUCAGCUCGUGCCUUGAGGUGUUCGGUUA